GACGAACGCUGGCGGCGUGCUUAACACAUGCCAGUCGUACGGUAAGGCCCUUUCGGGGGUACACGAGUGGCGAACGGGUGAGUAACACGUGAGUAACCUGCCCACAACUUUGGGAUAACGCUAGGAAACUGGUGCUAAUACUGGAUAUGUGCCCCUGCUGCAUGGUGGGGGUUGGAAAGCUCCGGCGGUUGUGGAUGGACUCGCGGCCUAUCAGCUUGUUGGUGGGGUAGUGGCCUACCAAGGCGGCGACGGGUAGCCGGCCUGAGAGGGUGACCGGCCACAUUGGGACUGAGAUACGGCCCAGACUCCUACGGGAGGCAGCAGUGGGGAAUAUUGCACAAUGGGCGCAAGCCUGAUGCAGCAACGCCGCGUGCGGGAUGACGGCCUUCGGGUUGGAAACCGCUUUCAGCAGGGACGAAGCUUUUUGUGACGGUACCUGCAGAAGAAGCACCGGCUAACUACGUG
RNAcentral lists this ribosomal RNA (465 nucleotides) under uncultured bacterium. RNAcentral describes it as "partial 16S ribosomal RNA". It matches the Rfam family "Bacterial small subunit ribosomal RNA", at positions 28 to 507 of the family's 1533-position model. The record is from RNAcentral.